RNAcentral lists this ribosomal RNA (487 nucleotides) under Anaspides tasmaniae (Tasmanian mountain shrimp). RNAcentral describes it as "partial 16S ribosomal RNA". It matches the Rfam family "Bacterial large subunit ribosomal RNA", at positions 1844 to 2590 of the family's 2925-position model. Lineage: Eukaryota; Metazoa; Arthropoda; Malacostraca; Anaspidacea; Anaspididae. The record is from RNAcentral.
UAUAUAAAGUCUAACCUGCCCACUGAAAUAUUAAAGGGCCGCGGUAUAUUGACCGUGCGAAGGUAGCAUAAUCAUUAGUCUUUUAAUUGAAGGCUGGAAUGAAUGGUUGAACAAAAAAUAUCCUGUCUCACUAUUAAAAUUAAAAUUUGACUUUUAAGUAAAAAGGCUUAAAUAAUAUAGAAUGACGAUAAGACCCUAUAAAGCUUUAUAUUAAAAAAAUAAUUAAUAAAUUUGAAUUUAAAAAUUACUUAUUUUAAAAAUAUUGUGUUGGGGCGACAAAAAUAAAAAUUGUAACUGUUUAUUUAUUAAAAACUAUAAUAAAAGAAAAAGUGAUCCUUUAGUAAAGAUUAAAAGAUUAAGUUACUUUAGGGAUAACAGCGUAAUCUUUUUUAAGAGUUCAUAUCGACAAAAAGACUUGCGACCUCGAUGUUGAAUUAAGAAGUCCUUUUGGUGUAGCAGUUAAAAAGGAAGGUCUGUUCGACCUUUA